CCUACGGGAGGCUGCAGUGGGGAAUAUUGCACAAUGGGCGCAAGCCUGAUGCAGCCAUGCCGCGUGUAUGAAGAAGGCCUUCGGGUUGUAAAGUACUUUCAGCGAGGAGGAAGGCAUUGUGGUUAAUAACCACAGUGAUUGACGUUACUCGCAGAAGAAGCACCGGCUAACUCCGUGCCAGCAGCCGCGGUAAUACGGAGGGUGCAAGCGUUAAUCGGAAUUACUGGGCGUAAAGCGCACGCAGGCGGUCUGUCAAGUCGGAUGUGAAAUCCCCGGGCUCAACCUGGGAACUGCAUUCGAAACUGGCAGGCUAGAGUCUUGUAGAGGGGGGUAGAAUUCCAGGUGUAGCGGUGAAAUGCGUAGAGAUCUGGAGGAAUACCGGUGGCGAAGGCGGCCCCCUGGACAAAGACUGACGCUCAGGUGCGAAAGCGUGGGGAGCAAACA
Molecule: ribosomal RNA, 444 nt
Filed under: uncultured bacterium
Lineage: Bacteria
Description: bacterial SSU rRNA
Rfam family: Bacterial small subunit ribosomal RNA
Source: RNAcentral